GCUCCACCAGUUUAUAUAAUAUUCCCUUAUGCCAAGCGGAAUCGAAUGCUUUUUCAAUGUCUAACGAUAAAGCUACCGUACAUAUUUUAUAUCUCAGUUUUUUUGUGAUGUCACCGUGGAAUUUCAGAAGAGCAUGUUGAGUCGAGUGAAAUUGUUUGAAGCCAAAUUGAAAUGCAGAUAUCGGACUAACUAUGAAUUCUCCUUCCAGUUUAUCCUUCAAGACGUGUUCAAAUAUCUUUCCAAUGUUUGAGAGCAUUGAAAUAGGGCGAAAAUCUUCGAUAUUGUUGCUGUUCUCCUUUUUCCUCAACGGAAUUAUCUUAGCCGAUUUCCACACAGCUGGAAAAUAGUAAUUGUUAAUACAAUUAUUAAAGAUGAUGACCCAACAUUAGUAAAGUGGUAUGCAUCUUGGUUUUCAACAGAGUUAAAUAAUCCAUCGAACGAGUAAAUAUGCUGGGGAAUGACAUCAACACAAGACGAAAUACGGGCAUCUAUAUCCGCAAUGGCUCCUUCCGGAAUAUUUUCGCUGUAUACUGUUGCAUAGUAUUCUCGGAAGUGCUCCGAAAUUUCAGAUUCAUUGGAGAUAAUGGUGUUGUUGACACAAACUGAUUUGCAAAAUGUUGACUUUCUUUUUCCCAUUAGUUUAUAUACUUCCUUGAACGCAGAUGGGCCUGGUUUAAUUUUCUCAAGUUUACUAUUAAAACUCUUCGCUUGUUCGAUAAUUACUAGUUCUUUUAUAAUCGUCCUUAAAAGCUGGACUUGCUUCGAUAGUAUAAUAUACUCCUGACUCAGCCUGUUUCCGGUGCGAUGAUAAAUCCUUUUUAACUCUUUUUGCCAUCUAUGCUUUACUUUGAAGAAUUUUCUUAUAUUCUCAGAAAGUGGUAAUUUGUUGUUCUUUAUUUCAAUUUUUUCCGUGUGGUUGUUAUGAGCAGUUAUUAAGUUGGUAUUAAACACAUUUAUCAAUCGGUCAAUUUCAUGAUUCUCAAUAUUUCUAUUCUCAGAAGGUAACAGACUGCAAGAGACAUUUUCCAUUUCGCGCUGAAAAAGGUUCCAAUUGGUAUUCUUGUAGGAUGUAUAACGGCGAGGUAUUUGUAAAAUGAAUUCACAGGAUUCUAAUCUUAAUUCCAAUUUGAUGGGAUAAUGGUCUGAGAACGAAGAAAGACUUGAUGUUCUAAAAUUAUCAGAGCUGGUGUUAAUUACAUGAGGACUUAGUAAAAAGUGGUCAAGAAAAGAUGAGCCAUUCGGAUACGAAGGCGUAAUGUCGCAAAGCCGAACCACAUCUAAAGCGUUAUCAAGGAGCCAACUUUUGAGUACCUUUCCGUUGCCAUUUUCAAUUAAAUCGCCCCAAACCGGAUUCUUGGCAUUUAGGUCACCACCUAAUAUAAAACCAUCAAAUCCACUGGCCAUAUCUAAAAUUUUACUUAGUCCAUCGGAGAGAGAAGAAGAAGUAUAGUUGCACGGAAUAUAUAUGGAACCAAUUAAAAACUUUUUACGUAUUUCAUUUAUGUUAAAAUCCACUUGAAUAAAAAUUCCAUUGAAUCCAAUGUUGGAAAUAUCUAUAAGAUUGUAAGAAA
This is a long non-coding RNA of Calliphora vicina (urban bluebottle blowfly), 1571 nucleotides long. RefSeq lists it as uncharacterized. The record is from RefSeq and is a predicted model, not a curated record. The transcript is spliced from 2 exons. NCBI's taxonomy places the organism in Eukaryota, Metazoa, Arthropoda, Insecta, Diptera, Calliphoridae.